GGCUCAGGACGAACGCUGGCGGCGUGCCUAAUACAUGCAAGUCGAGCGGACAGAAGGGAGCUUGCUCCCGGAUGUUAGCGGCGGACGGGUGAGUAACACGUGGGUAACCUGCCUGUAAGACUGGGAUAACUCCGGGAAACCGGAGCUAAUACCGGAUAGUUCCUUGAACCGCAUGGUUCAAGGAUGAAAGACGGUUUCGGCUGUCACUUACAGAUGGACCCGCGGCGCAUUAGCUAGUUGGUGGGGUAAUGGCUCACCAAGGCGACGAUGCGUAGCCGACCUGAGAGGGUGAACGGCCACACUGGGACUGAGACACGGCCCAGACUCCUACGGGAGGCAGCAGUAGGGAAUCUUCCGCAAUGGACGAAAGUCUGACGGAGCAACGCCGCGUGAGUGAUGAAGGUUUUCGGAUCGUAAAGCUCUGUUGUUAGGGAAGAACAAGUGCGAGAGUAACUGCUCGCACCUUGACGGUACCUAACCAGAAAGCCACGGCUAACUACGUGCCAGCAGCCGCGGUAAUACGUAGGUGGCAAGCGUUGUCCGGAAUUAUUGGGCGUAAAGGGCUCGCAGGCGGUUUCUUAAGUCUGAUGUGAAAGCCCCCGGCUCAACCGGGGAGGGUCAUUGGAAACUGGGAAACUUGAGUGCAGAAGAGGAGAGUGGAAUUCCACGUGUAGCGGUGAAAUGCGUAGAGAUGUGGAGGAACACCAGUGGCGAAGGCGACUCUCUGGUCUGUAACUGACGCUGAGGAGCGAAAGCGUGGGGAGCGAACAGGAUUAGAUACCCUGGUAGUCCACGCCGUAAACGAUGAGUGCUAAGUGUUAGGGGGUUUCCGCCCCUUAGUGCUGCAGCUAACGCAUUAAGCACUCCGCGUGGGGAGUACUUUCGCAAGACUGAAACUCAAAGGAAUUGACGGGGGCCCGCACAAGCGGUGGAGCAUGUGGUUUAAUUCGAAGCAACGCGAAGAACCUUACCAGGUCUUGACAUCCUCUGACAACCCUAGAGAUAGGGCUUUCCCUUCGGGGACAGAGUGACAGGUGGUGCAUGGUUGUCGUCAGCUCGUGUCGUGAGAUGUUGGGUUAAGUCCCGCAACGAGCGCAACCCUUGAUCUUAGUUGCCAGCAUUCAGUUGGGCACUCUAAGGUGACUGCCGGUGACAAACCGGAGGAAGGUGGGGAUGACGUCAAAUCAUCAUGCCCCUUAUGACCUGGGCUACACACGUGCUACAAUGGACAGAACAAAGGGCUGCAAGACCGCAAGGUUUAGCCAAUCCCAUAAAUCUGUUCUCAGUUCGGAUCGCAGUCUGCAACUCGACUGCGUGAAGCUGGAAUCGCUAGUAAUCGCGGAUCAGCAUGCCGCGGUGAAUACGUUCCCGGGCCUUGUACACACCGCCCGUCACACCACGAGAGUUUGCAACACCCGAAGUCGGUGAGGUAACCUUUAUGGAGCCAGCCGCCGAAGGUGGGGCAGAUGAUUGGGGUGAAGUCGUACAGGGGUUACCCUUAA
Molecule: ribosomal RNA, 1502 nt
Filed under: Bacillus sp. BAB-3108
Lineage: Bacteria; Bacillati; Bacillota; Bacilli; Caryophanales; Bacillaceae
Description: bacterial SSU rRNA
Rfam family: Bacterial small subunit ribosomal RNA
Source: RNAcentral